Molecule: non-coding RNA, 732 nt
Organism: Urocitellus parryii (Arctic ground squirrel)
Lineage: Eukaryota; Metazoa; Chordata; Mammalia; Rodentia; Sciuridae
Source: RefSeq, a predicted model, not a curated record
AUGGCAAGUGGCAGUGGCGCUAGGUCGUUGGCAACCACAGCGGCGAAUCUGAAUGCGGUGAGGGAAACCGUGGACGUUCUGCUUGAGAUUUCAAGAAUUUUGAAUACUGGCUUAGAUUUAUGGAAACACUGUCUAUUUGUGCACGGCUUUGUGAACAAGGAAUUAACCCAGAAGCUUUAUCAUCUGUUAUUAAGGAACUCCGCAAGGCUACUGAAGCACUAAAGGCUGCUGAAAAUAUGACAAGCUGACUUUCUGGAGAGAUCCUGAGGAGAUAUGUCAAAUUCCUCAAGAGRAUUUGAAGAUUGCAUUUUAGUCAAGAAUGUACAGUGAAAUUACUGCAUGCAGCAGUGUAGAAAAAUUUUCCUUUUUUAAAAAAGAAUUAUAAAACCAUAGCUUUAUAAAUCAGUGGAAAGUGGCUUACAGAGAGAACUAUCAAAUGUGUUUGCAUCGCAUCUUUUUUUUAAUGGCCCUAAUGCUUUGGCAUUGCUAUGUUUAUAUUUAUGUAUUCCUUAUUUAUAGCUCUGAUAGCUUUAAUUUUCUAAGCAGUCUGUCUAUCAGAUGUGCACAUCUGCUGUGCCUGCUGGAAGUAUAUGGAACCCAUCAGUAUUGAUGUGUUGUAGUUAUGACUUGUUGACAUUUCYAUUAUAAACUUUAAUUUUGAAUUGUUUAUGCAUAAUAACUGUUGAUUUAUGUUGUAUCAGGCUAAAAGUUGUCAAGAUUUUAGCCACCACA